Molecule: RNA transcript, 3897 nt
Organism: Brassica rapa (field mustard)
Lineage: Eukaryota; Viridiplantae; Streptophyta; Magnoliopsida; Brassicales; Brassicaceae
Gene name: transcription initiation factor TFIID subunit 15b-like
Source: RefSeq, a predicted model, not a curated record
AUGGAUCAAGAAGUGUUUUUAACAUUCUCGAUCAUGCAUAUUCCUGAGACUCAAAAUAUAAUGACGGAUAGUCUUGCACAUGGUGCUCAAAUCAUUUCUGGGACGUACAAUCAAAGCGGCGGCGGCGGUUGUGCGCCUAUUCCGUCGUACGAUGGUGAUGGAUACGGAGGAGGUGGAGGUGGAGGUUAUGGAGGUCGCAGUGCCUCUGGCGGAGGUGGAUACGGCGGACACGGUGGUUACAGUGGCGGCGGUAGAGGAAAUCAAGGCGGUGGUGGUGGUGGAUAUGGUGAUCGUGGUGGAAGAGGAGGCGUCAGCGGCGGGAGAGGUGGUGGUGGCAGAGAUGGUGGCGGCAGAGAUAGUGAUUGGCGUUGCCCUAUCAAUAGUUGUGGGAACGUGAACUUUGCAAGGAGAGUUGAAUAUAACAAGUGUGGUGCACCUGCCCCUUCUGGCACCGGUGACCGAGGAGCUGGCCGAGGUGCCAGUGAUCGUGGUGGCGGUGGUCGUGACAGUGGUAGGAGCUAUGAGAGUAGUAGAUAUGAUGGUGGCAGUAGGAGCGGUGGUGGUGGUAGCUCUAUGGGAGUAGAGGUAGUGGUUCUUAUGUUCAGGGUCCUCCACCUCCUUUGGCGGCUAUUCCAUCCUACGAUGGUUCUGGCAGUUACCCUCCUCCACCCAUGGGGUAUGGAAUGGAAGCAGUUCCCCCGCCUUCUAGCUAUGCUGGUGGUCGGUCCCCCUUCUUAUGGUGGUCCCACUGGGGGUUAUGGAGGUGAUGCACCGAGCACUGGUGGUAGAGGUGGUGGCUACGAUGGUGGUAGUGCUCCUCGACGCCAGGAACCUAGCUAUGAAGAUGCACCGCUGAAAAAGUCAAGCUGUGCGAUGAGAAUUGUGAUGAAACUUGUGAUAAUGCCAGAAUAUAUAUCAAUAAUUUACCUCCUGAUGUGACAACCGAUGAACUCAAGGAUCUCUUUGGUGGCAUUGGUCAAGUUGGAAGAAUCAAGCAGAAGCGGGGUUACAAGGAUCAGUGGCCAUAUAACAUCAAGAUUUACAUUGAUGAGAAGGGAAAGAACAAAGGUGACGCCUGCCUGACUUAUGAAGAUCCUAGCGCAGCACACUCGACAGGUGGCUUUUUCAACAGUAUGUACCAUGGUUGACUGUGCCGAAGCUCAAGAACUUUAAGCAGGUUCAAUGGCGAGAUUUUGACCAGUAGGUACAUGGAUCGCAGAUUUGACACGAGGUUAUCUUUGAGAAUGAAGGAAUAAAGAAUAAAAGUCUUAUGAAGAUCCUACAACCGCCAUAAGAAACCAAAGCACUCAGCGGAAAGCAUAAGAAAGAUCUAUAAUCGUAUGCUACAAGAAAAAUCAAAGUCAAUAUGAGUCCAGAGCCUUUAUACAGAACUGAUCAUUGCCAGUAUGAACAUCAUAUCUUCAUUGUCCAAUAAACAUAAUUUUCAAAUUAUACAAAAUUAAUCAUAGCUUUGGAAACUAAGUAGAAGCUCUGAAAUAAUCAAGAUAUGUAAAAAGAAUAAGUCCUAAAACAUCGAUAAUAGAACUUGGUGGAUUGGUUACUCUGCUUAAAGAUCUGAGAUGGUUUGAUUAAGAUUGUCCAUCGUUUACUUCAUUGUGUGAUAUGUGAAGGAUAUCUAAUAUGAGUUUGCAAAGAAGUAAGAAGAAAAUAAAACAUUAAGGAUUAUAAAAUGGUAAAAUAAAGAGGAAAUAAACACAAAUUUAUUACUUCAAUAUAUAUGUGAAUAAGUUUGAACCAAGUUGAGUUUAUUUAUUUUGCUACCAAAACAAAUUUGAACAAAGUAGUAAACAAUAAAUCUAUCAAAUUUUCAAAAUAAAUUAUUAAUUAUAUUUUUUAAAUAUCUAAAAUAUAAAAUUAAACAUCAAUAUAUAUAUAUAUAUAUAAUUAAAAUCAUAUAUUAAGGAUCUUUAAUAUAUCAUGCAUAUUAUAGUAUUUUUUUACAAAUGGUAAAGAAUACAUUCUAACAUCGUAUUCACAUAUCAUUCAAAUCAUAAGAAACCACAAUAAUUCUAUUAAGAAAAUACCCAAAAUGCACUCAUACUUUUUUUUUUAUCAGCGCACUCAUACAUCUUAUGGCCAAACUUACAAUCAAAUGUACAUUAUGUCUAGCCACUUACAAACACAUUCAUAUUAGAUAAAUUUAUAAAUAAAAUUUGUGUUUGCUUAUUUAAAUUUCAAAAUAGAUUUUAUUUAUUUAUUUAUUUUAAAGGUCUAUCCUAAUAUUAUUGAGAAAAUACACAUCACAGAAAACAUUUACCAAAAAAAAAACUAUAUACAAAAACAUAAUUCGUUAUAGGUUUGCUUUUCUAGAGGUACAAAUAAAAAAUAUAAACUGAAAGAAAAAAUACAAAAAAUGUUUUAAUCUUGAAAUAUCGCACAUGUAACUUUUUUACAUUUCCUCAUAUGAAAUGGCCAAUCAUUAAAUUUUUGACAAUUUCAAAGCAUAGAGUAAAAAUAAAUUAUCUUGAUAACAAUCACUAAUCCAAAGAUAUAUAAAGGUGAAUGGAAAAUAAAUUUCAUUAUCAUGUUUGAUUUUUUCUAAUUGAUUUUUUAAAACAAUACAAAAAUUAUUAUUCACCUCAGCAUUUGGAAUAAAAUAUUAUUCUUACUUUACCUAUGAUGAAGCUAAUAAAAACAUAUAUUAUAUAGAAGACUAAUGUCACAUUCAAAAAGCAACAAUAUAUACCUUAAAAAACUCAAAUCUAUAUACAUACAUUUGUUUUAUGGUUUAAGACAUUUUCUGAUUUAUUAAUUCUAAAUUCAUUAAAUUGUUUUAAAAAUAUACAAAAUCAAUAAAUAUUACAGGGAAACUAUUUUUGGUCUAUUAAUUGACCGGAAAUAAUAUCUAAAAGCAUUUUCCGCGCGUAGCGCGGACAGAAACUCUAGUUAAAGAUAAUAAUGUAAUAAACUACUGUAAGAGUUAAGGUGAAUGCGGUGACUAAAAAUACUGAUUUUUUAAACAAUAUUAUAAAGAUUUUCCUUUAAAACAUGCAAGUUGGGAACACGAAACCCAAACAAUCCUGAAACCAGGUGCGCUUAGCUGCACACUCUUCAAACCAGGAUCUAAACAAAAGAUCCAAUUACCCCUUAUCUAUCGUUGUUUAUAAGGAUAAAAUCGUCAUAUUCAGAUCCAGACGGUGGUAACGCAAAAAACCAGCAGCCACAUAUUCUGGUUUCACUCCCAACUUAACGGCGAUUGUUGUUGGCUUCUUCAUUUUAUAUAUAUCAUUCAAUUUCACUUCUCUGAAAUCAUCGAAAUCACAAAACACUGUAUUCGAAAUCCAAAAGAAGAUCGUAAAGUGAAAGUGAAGAAAAUAUGAGUUCUACAAGCAAAGCCUGGACGGUGGCAGUUAGCAUCGGAGUAGUAGAGACGUUGAAAGACCAGUUAGGUCUUUGUCGGUGGAACUACAUGUUCCGGUCGGUGAAUCAGCAUCUUCGGAACAAUGUCAGAACUGUUUCUCAGGGGAAAAGGUUCUCGUCUUCUGUUGCCGCCGCUAACUCGUCUGGUGAGAGUGAAAAGGCAAAGAAGUGUGAAGAAUCGCUUAGAACGGUUAUGUAUUUGAGCUGUUGGGGUCCUAAUUGAUUAGGACUUUAGUUUAUAAUGUAUAGUUUUGUAAUUUCUAAGAUGACUUGGAGAAAUGGAGUUUUAAUAUAAUUUUUGGUUCGAAAAAGAAAAAUGUCAAUGAAAUAUGAGAUGAGCCGAUCCAAUCCCCCAAACAAAAAGCAACAACAAAAAAUAAAUGUAUGAAAUUUGUAAGAAUACAGCUUAAAGCAAAGCUUUCAAGUAUUCGGAACAGAAAAAAUAAAUGUAUGAAAUUUGUAAGAAUAUCAGCUCCGUUUGUGUAAAUUAACUAAUUGAGAAAGUUGUAAUUUCUG